GCGUAACGCGUAUGCCACCUACCUUUAACAGGGGGAUAACACUGAGAAAUUGGUACUAAUACCCCAUAAUAUCAUAGAAGGCAUCUUUUAUGGUUGAAAAUUCCGAUGGUUCUAGAGAUGGGCAUGCGUUGUAUUAGCUAGUUGGUGGGGUAACGGCUCACCACAGGCGACGAUACAUAGGGGGGACUGAGAGGUUAACCCCCCACACUGGUACUGAGACACGGACCAGACUCCUACGGGAGGCAGCAGUGAGGAAUAUUGGUCAAUGGACGCAAGUCUGAACCAGCCAUGCCGCGUGCAGGAUGACGGCUCUAUGAGUUGUAAACUGCUUUAUGUACGAGGGUAAACGCAGAUACGUGUAUCUGUCUGAAAGUAUCGUACGAAUAAGGAUCGGCUAACUCCGUGCCAGCAGCCGCGGUAAUACGGAGGAUUCAAGCGUUAUCCGGAUUUAUUGGGUUUAAAGGGUGCGUAGGCGGUUUGAUAAGUUAGAGGUGAAAUUUCGGGGCUCAACCCUGAAACGUGCCUCUAAUACUGUUGAGCUAGAGAGUAGUUGCGGUAGGCGGAAUGUAUGGUGUAGCGGUGAAAUGCUUAGAGAUCAUACAGAACACCGAUUGCGAAGGCA
Molecule: ribosomal RNA, 622 nt
Filed under: uncultured Bacteroidales bacterium
Lineage: Bacteria; Pseudomonadati; Bacteroidota; Bacteroidia; Bacteroidales
Description: bacterial SSU rRNA
Rfam family: Bacterial small subunit ribosomal RNA
Source: RNAcentral